RNAcentral lists this ribosomal RNA (403 nucleotides) under bacterium. RNAcentral's name for it is "partial 16S ribosomal RNA". It matches the Rfam family "Bacterial small subunit ribosomal RNA", at positions 355 to 776 of the family's 1533-position model. RNAcentral also lists the same sequence under 1 other name. The record is from RNAcentral.
UGGGGAAUAUUGCACAAUGGAGGGAACUCUGAUGCAGCGACGCCGCGUGAACGAAGAAGGCUUUCGAGUCGUAAAGUUCUUUUAUAUGGGAAGAUAAUGACGGUACCAUAAGAAAAAGUCCCGGCUAACUACGUGCCAGCAGCCGCGGUAAUACGUAGGGGGCUAGCGUUGUCCGGAAUCACUGGGCGUAAAGGGUUCGCAGGCGGAAAUGCAAGUCAGGUGUAAAAGGCAGUAGCUUAACUACUGUAAGCAUUUGAAACUGCAUAUCUUGAGAAGAGUAGAGGUAAGUGGAAUUUUUAGUGUAGCGGUGAAAUGCGUAGAUAUUAAAAAGAAUACCGGUGGCGAAGGCGACUUACUGGGCUCAUUCUGACGCUGAGGAACGAAAGCGUGGGUAGCAAACAGG